This 249-nucleotide ribosomal RNA is filed under the name uncultured bacterium. RNAcentral's name for it is "partial 16S ribosomal RNA". It matches the Rfam family "Bacterial small subunit ribosomal RNA", at positions 524 to 771 of the family's 1533-position model. The record is from RNAcentral.
UACGUAGGGACCGAGCGUUUGUCCGGAAUCAUUGGGCGUAAAGAGCGUGUAGGCGGCCCCUUAAGUCCUGCGUGAAAUCCUGCGGCUCAACCGCAGACGGUCGUGGGAAACUGGAGGGCUAGAGUGCGGGAGAGGAGAGUGGAAUUCCCGGUGUAGCGGUGAAAUGCGCAGAUAUCGGGAAGAACACCCGUGGCGAAGGCGGCUCCCUGGAACGCAACUGACGCUGAGACGCGAAAGCGUGGGGAGCAA